This is a non-coding RNA of Pelobates cultripes (western spadefoot toad), 227 nucleotides long. Lineage: Eukaryota; Metazoa; Chordata; Amphibia; Anura; Pelobatidae. The record is from the annotation of a GenBank genome assembly.
CUGUACUUUACAAUGAUAUUUCUCUGGUGUCCUAGAAAAGAGACACGACAGAACAAACCUGGUAUAGUGGGAUAGAAACUUCAACAUUGUGUCUGUCUUGACUAUACCCAUCCUGUAACUACAUAUGUUAAUAUGGAUGCAUUCAAUUGACAGAAACUAUUUUAAUGAAACACGGUAGCAUACGUUGUUUUUUUGAGCUAUGUAACAGACACAGCUUUUGAGAAGAG